This 439-nucleotide ribosomal RNA is filed under the name uncultured bacterium. Its description in RNAcentral is "partial 16S ribosomal RNA". It matches the Rfam family "Bacterial small subunit ribosomal RNA", at positions 339 to 795 of the family's 1533-position model. The record is from RNAcentral.
CUACGGGUGGCUCCAGUGGGGAAUAUUGCACAAUGGAGGAAACUCUGAUGCAGCAACGCCGCGUGGAGGAUGACACUUUUCGGAGCGUAAACUCCUUUUAUAUAGGAAGAAGAUGACGGUACUAUAUGAAUAAGCGCCGGCUAACUCCGUGCCAGCAGCCGCGGUAAUACGGAGGGCGCAAGCGGUACUCGGAAUCACUGGGCGUAAAGAGCGUGUAGGCGGAUUAAAAAGUCAGGAGUGAAAUCCUAUAGCUUAACUAUAGAACUGCUUCUGAAACUCUUAAUCUAGAAUAUGGGAGAGGUAGAUGGAAUUUCUGGUGUAGGGGUAAAAUCCGUAGAGAUCAGAAGGAAUACCGAUUGCGAAGGCGAUCUACUAGAACAUUAUUGACGCUGAGACGCGAAAGCGUGGGGAGCAAACAGGAUUAGAUACCCCGGUAGUC